RNAcentral lists this microRNA precursor (129 nucleotides) under Phaseolus vulgaris (common bean). Its description in RNAcentral is "pre miRNA mir-172". It matches the Rfam family "mir-172 microRNA precursor family". Rfam says of the family: mir-172 has been experimentally verified in Arabidopsis thaliana. This family is thought to target mRNAs coding for APETALA2-like transcription factors. Lineage: Eukaryota; Viridiplantae; Streptophyta; Magnoliopsida; Fabales; Fabaceae. The record is from Rfam by way of RNAcentral.
CUGAUUGCUGAUGGAGCAUCAUCAAGAUUCACAAGCUUCAAGGGAUUUUGUUUGGGGUGGUCCCUAAUUGCUCCCAAAUAAAUUUGCCCUUCGAUAUGGGAAUCUUGAUGAUGCUGCAGCAGCCAUAAA